This 219-nucleotide ribosomal RNA is filed under the name Strumigenys inusitata. RNAcentral describes it as "partial large subunit ribosomal RNA". The record is from RNAcentral. Lineage: Eukaryota; Metazoa; Arthropoda; Insecta; Hymenoptera; Formicidae.
GAAUUUAAUAUAAUUGAAUAUAAUGAUAAUUUUUAUAUAAAUUUAUGAGCAAUUAUAAUUUAAUUGGGAGGAUUAUUAAAUUUAAUAAACUUUAAAAAAAUAAAAUAUAGAUUAGUAUAUAAAAUUUUGUAGAAUGAUUAGUAAAUUAAGUGAUAAUUAAUUACCUUAGGGAUAACAGCGUAAUAUUUUUAUAGAGAUCUUAUUGAUAAAAAUGAUUGC